Molecule: ribosomal RNA, 383 nt
Filed under: uncultured eukaryote
Lineage: Eukaryota
Description: partial 18S ribosomal RNA
Rfam family: Eukaryotic small subunit ribosomal RNA
Source: RNAcentral
CAAUAGCGUAUAUUAAAGUUGUUGCAGUUAAAAAGCCCGUAGUUGGAUUUCUGGUAGGAGUGACCGUUCCGAACUUGAUUGUUCGUGUAUUGUGUUUUCUCCAGCCAUCCUUGUGGAGAACUUUUCUUGCAUUAAUUUGUAGGGAUUGGGACCCGCAUCGUUUACUGUGAAAAAAUUAGAGUGUUUAAAGCAGGCAAUCGCUUGAAUACAUUAGCAUGGAAUAAUAAGAUAGGACUUUGGUACUAUUUUGUUGGUUUGCAUACCAAAUUAAUGAUCAACAGGAACAGUUUGAGGAUAUUCGUAUGAACAUGUCAGAGGUGAAAUUCUUGGAUUUUGAUCAGACGAACUACUGCGAAAGCAUUUAUCAAGGAUGUUUUCAUUAA